AUUAAAAUUGCUCAUUAUGAACGAUCAUCAUAUUCUGCCUACAGCAGGACAUGCAGGAGUAAAUAGAAUGUUGAAAACCAUUAAACAACGAUAUACAUGGAAGGGCAUAGAUACAGAUGUACGGAACAUGGUUAAAAAAUGUAAAGAGUGUCAGGUGAACAAAAGAUAAGUGAACCAAAAAUACCAUUAACAAUAACGUCUACUGCUAGCGAGCCCAUGGAAAAAAUAUAUUUAGAUUUGGUAGGACCACUUGUGAAAGUAGAAGGUUGUGAAUAUAUUUUGACAACACAAUGCGAUCUUACUAAAUUCAUCACAGCAACACCUAUUACAGACAAAAGAACGGAAACGGUAGCAAAGGCAUUCGUAGAAAAAGUAAUUCUCAAAUAUGGGAUACCAAAAAUCAUUUGCACGGAUAGAGGAGCAGAGUUUAUGUCAAAACUAUUCAUCGAACUUUGCAAACAACUUAAUAUUGAAAAACUAAAUUCCACGGCAUAUCACCAUGAAAGCAUAGGAGCCUUGGAAAAUUCACAUAAAAUGUUAGGGAAUUUCCUAAGAAUCCAUUGCAAAGACAACCCACUAGCUUGGAAGGAUUGGAUUCAAUUCUAUGAGUUUUCGUACAACAACAUUGUACAUACAGUAACAGGUUAUUCCCCUUUCUUUUUAUUAUAUGGCCGACUGCCUAAUAUUCCUUCGAAUUGCUUAGAAAACCCUAAAAAGGAAAUGCAUUACGAUUUAGACAACUAUAUAAAAACCUUACAAGCUAAAUUGGUAAUUUCACAUCGAGAAGUCAGAGAAAAGCUCAUAAAUAACAAACAUAAGGUAAAAUUAAAGUAUGACCAAACAAGUAAAAUCAAGAUUUUUGAGCCAGGAGAUCAAUGUUUGUUGAGAAAUGAAACGGCUAGUAAGUUAGAGCAACCAUUUUUAGGACCUUAUACUAUUAUUAAAGAAACCGGUCCAAAUGUUGAACUAAAGAUAGGUGAUAGAACAGAAAUCGUCCAUAAAAAUAGGAUUAAGAAAUAUUGUAUGUAAAAAAAAAAAAAAAAAAAAAAAAAAAUUUUUGGUUGGGCGUGUUAUGGCAUUAUGACCAAUAUUGCCAUGACCUGAAACCGUUGUGCACGGUUUAAGCGAUAGCUAUCGCUCUUGACAUGCGGUCAGUUUCAAAUAAAAAGGAAUGCGCAGCUCGCGCUGCGCAUGAUUUAGCGUCCAAGCUCCAACUAAACACAUCGUGUUUAUAUAUUUUGAAAGAACAUAACAAUGAGCCAACUUUCAAUCACCGUAACACGGUUACCUUGAGCGACGGUUGCAAUCGCCUUAGCUGUAUCCGACCGGCAGAUCCUCCGGACCAUCUUUGGCGGUGUGCUGGCUUGCUGAGGAUUACAGAGGACUGUUGAUUGCUGUCGUAAUAGGAUACGAUUACUUUAGCUUAUUAACAGCAUGCUGGCCGUAUAUCCCAGCAAGAAAGGUUACCACAAUAUUUCUCAGUGCGACACGACGUUAGCUGGAUGAAGUGUAGCAUAAUUUGUCUGCGUUACGAUGCAUACUUCGAUGGUGAGCUGCAGCCAGGAUCCGAAAAAUUUGGCAACCUAUAACAAUGGCAGGACUGUGAAAAGGAAGUGCUGAAUCGAAGGAAAGUGAAAUGCUAGUUCUAUUCUAUCAAUUUAAAAUCCGUAAUUUACAAUUGUUUAUACUAUCACUAAAAGGAAAGUCCUUUUCGGAUCUUUGAUACCUUCUGCACAAGAGCUAUGGCUGCUCAUUUUCCGCAAUGUACCGUCCAAUGCUCAGGCGAACUUUCCUGCGCUGCCGUUACACGUUGUCACC
This is a long non-coding RNA of Anopheles arabiensis, 1818 nucleotides long. RefSeq lists it as uncharacterized. The record is from RefSeq and is a predicted model, not a curated record. NCBI's taxonomy places the organism in Eukaryota, Metazoa, Arthropoda, Insecta, Diptera, Culicidae. The transcript is spliced from 3 exons.